This 392-nucleotide ribosomal RNA is filed under the name Minutocellus sp. Its description in RNAcentral is "partial small subunit ribosomal RNA". It matches the Rfam family "Eukaryotic small subunit ribosomal RNA", at positions 582 to 975 of the family's 1831-position model. The record is from RNAcentral. Lineage: Eukaryota; Bacillariophyta; Thalassiosirophyceae; Cymatosirales; Cymatosiraceae.
AUUCCAGCUCCAAUAGCGUAUAUUAAAGUUGUUGCAGUUAAAAAGCUCGUAGUUGGAUUUCUGGUGGGAGCGAUCGGUCUGGCGCUUAGCGCGAGUACUUGCAUCGUCUCCGGCCAUCCUUGGGGAGAGUUUGUCUGGCAUUAAGUUGUCGGGCAGAGGAUCCUCAUCGUUUACUGUGAAAAAAUUAGAGUGUUCAAAGCAGGCUUAUGCCGUUGAAUAUAUUAGCAUGGAAUAAUAAGAUAGGACUUUGGUACUAUUUUGUUGGUUUGCGCACCAAAGUAAUGAUUAAUAGGGACAGUUGGGGGUAUUCGUAUUCCGUUGUCAGAGGUGAAAUUCUUGGAUUUACGGAAGACGAACUACUGCGAAAGCAUUUACCAAGGAUGUUUUCAUUA